GGAGUUCGGUCCGUGUCUCAGUACCGAUGUGUGGGGACCUUCCUUUUAGAACCCAUAGGCAUCAUCGUCUUGGUGGGCCGUUGCCCCGCCAACUAACUAAUGCCACGCAUGCCCAUCCGCAACCUAUGAAUAUUUAAUCAGUCCCUCAUGCGGGGGGCUGAUACCAUCGGAGUUUAAUCGUCCUUUCGGUCGGCUAUCUCCGUGUUGCGGGCAGGUUGCAUACGCGUUACUCACCCGUCCGCCGCUCGUCAUCAAAAUAUUGCUAUCUCAUGUUACCGCUCGACUUGCAUGUGUUAGGCCUGCCGCUAGCGUUUAUC
RNAcentral lists this ribosomal RNA (317 nucleotides) under uncultured Bacteroidales bacterium. RNAcentral describes it as "partial 16S ribosomal RNA". Lineage: Bacteria; Pseudomonadati; Bacteroidota; Bacteroidia; Bacteroidales. The record is from RNAcentral.